UUUCUUUAGAUCCGCCAAUUUUUGAUUUGGUAUAUUGCAUUUUAUUCAUUUUUUUCUCAUCUCGUGAUCUGUUUGUUUUUAUGGGUGUGGUUUUUUUUUUCUGUUUCUAUUUCAAGAUUAAGAAGAUGAGUUAAGGAAGAGGAGGAACCCACCUUUAUUGUCAUCGCUGUCGAUAUUGAUAUUGCUUUUGGCACCAAUAGUUGUUCAUUUGCAUUUUAGUAACUCAUUCUUAUUUAUACAUGAAUUCUACUUUUUAUCUCCUCCUCUUGAUAUGAGUUAGGAUGAGGAUCACUUUAUUAUUCAUUUAUUAAAAAAUAUUAAUAUUAAAAUUGAGAAUAUACGUUUUU
Molecule: long non-coding RNA, 347 nt
Filed under: Lathyrus oleraceus (garden pea)
Lineage: Eukaryota; Viridiplantae; Streptophyta; Magnoliopsida; Fabales; Fabaceae
Description: Pisum sativum (pea) long non-coding RNA (PSAT_LNC028704)
Source: RNAcentral